This is a non-coding RNA of Rickenella mellea, 79 nucleotides long. The record is from the annotation of a GenBank genome assembly. NCBI's taxonomy places the organism in Eukaryota, Fungi, Basidiomycota, Agaricomycetes, Hymenochaetales, Rickenellaceae.
GGUCUUAUAGUGUAGUGGUUAUCACACGGGAUUUUGAUCUUCCCUUCCCGCGACUCAGGUUCGAACCCUGAUAAGACCU